CAGUAGCCGCGGGAAUACGGAGGGGGCUAGCGUUGUUCGGAAUUACUGGGCGUAAAGCGCACGUAGGCGGCUUGGUAAGUUAGAGGUGAAAGCCCGGGGCUCAACCCCGGAAUUGCCUUUAAGACUGCCGAGCUAGUAGGUGAGAGAGGUGAGUGGAAUUCCGAGUGUAGAGGUGAAAUUCGUAGAUAUUCGGAAGAACACCAGUGGCGAAGGCGGCUCACUGGCUCAUUCUAGACGCUGAGGUGCGAAAGCGUGGGGAGCAAACAGGAUUAGAUACCCGCGUAGUCCCUGUCUCUUAUAC
This 301-nucleotide ribosomal RNA is filed under the name uncultured bacterium. RNAcentral describes it as "partial 16S ribosomal RNA". It matches the Rfam family "Bacterial small subunit ribosomal RNA", at positions 509 to 807 of the family's 1533-position model. The record is from RNAcentral.